UUCCGGUUGAUCCUGCCGGACUCCACUGCUAUCGGGGUAAGGCUAAGCCAUGCAAGUCGAAGGCCUCCGGCUCCGGGGGCCUGGCGUACGGCUGAGUAACGCGUGGCCAACCUGCUCUGCGGAGGGGGAUAACCCCGGGAAACUGGGGAUAAACCCCCAUAGGUGACCGGGUCUGGAAGGACCGGUCGCCGAAAGUCCCGGUCGGGGAUGCUCCGGCCGGGAGCCGCAGGAUGGGGCUGCGUCCUAUCAGGUAGUUGGUGGGGUAACGGCCCACCAAGCCUGUGACGGGUAGGGGCCCUGAGAGGGGGAGCCCCCAGAUGGACUCUGAGACAAGAGUCCAGGCCCUACGGGGCGCAGCAGGCGCGAAAACUCCGCAAUGGGCGAAAGCCCGACGGGGUUACCCCGAGUGCCACCCUCGUGGUGGCUUUUGCCCGCUCUAAAAAGGCGGGCGAAUAAGGGGAGGGCAAGUCGGGUGUCAGCCGUC
This 484-nucleotide ribosomal RNA is filed under the name uncultured prokaryote. Its description in RNAcentral is "bacterial SSU rRNA". It matches the Rfam family "Archaeal small subunit ribosomal RNA", at positions 1 to 466 of the family's 1478-position model. The record is from RNAcentral.